This 500-nucleotide ribosomal RNA is filed under the name uncultured Glomus. Its description in RNAcentral is "SSU rRNA". It matches the Rfam family "Eukaryotic small subunit ribosomal RNA", at positions 591 to 1092 of the family's 1831-position model. The record is from RNAcentral. Lineage: Eukaryota; Fungi; Glomeromycota; Glomeromycetes; Glomerales; Glomeraceae.
CCAAUAGCGUAUAUUAAAGUUGUUGCAGUUAAAAAGCUCGUAGUUGAAUUUCGGGAUCAAUAUAUCGGUCGUGCCAUUGGUACGUACUGGUAUCAUUGGUUUCUCCUUUCUGACGAACCAUGAUGUCAUUAAUUUGGUGUUAUGGGAAGUUAGGACUGUUACUUUGAAAAAAUUAGAGUGUUUAAAGCAGGCUUUAGCUUGAAUACAUUAGCAUGGAAUAAUGAAAUAGGACGUUUGAUCCUAUUUUGUUGGUUUCUAGGAUUGACGUAAUGAUUAAUAGGGAUAGUUGGGGGCAUUAGGAUUCAAUUGUCAGAGGUGAAAUUCUUGGAUUUAUUGAAGACUAACUACUGCGAAAGCAUUUGCCAAGGAUGUUUUCAUUAAUCAAGAACGAAAGUUAGGGGAUCGAAGACGAUCAGAUACCGUCGUAGUCUUAACCAUAAACUAUGCCGACUAGGGAUCGGAUGAUGUUAAUUUUUUAAUGACUCAUUCAGCGCCUUACG